GUGGCCAGUGGCUCCUCCCCUCUUAAGCUCAGGGGGAGCCUACGAUGUGCUCGGCUCCGCACUCAACCUCCUCUGCCCCCUCAACAUUAUGGGGUCCUGGCCCCCUGCCAGCAGUUACUGAGGGGGCUGAAGACACCUCAGCCCUAUAGAGUUGGUGUGUCUGUAUUACAGCAUUUUAUAUGUUAUAGGUGUCCAUGUUAGGAGGAGAAUCAAGAUGGUGGGUGGGUGAUACUUGCACAUCUCUCUAUAAGGGCACUGGGGAACAUGUGGCAAGUAUAGUGUUGUAUACGUGUAGGACACUCUUCACAUGAUCAGCUCUGCUCAGGCUGGGUUUUGGGAUUCCCCUCCAUCAACACCACCCCAGCUAUAUAAGAAGGCCAUGCCUUGCCCAGGGCAACCCAAAGCGACUGACAACCAACCAAUCAUUCUUACUGGAUUAAGAUGUUCAUUGUCUCUUUUUAAACACAGGAGGAAAGAAGGAAGGAAGGAAGGAAGGAAGGAAGGAAGGAAGGAAGGAAGGAAGAAAGAAAGAAAGAACCCUUUGAUACUCACAGUACUCUCGCUCACUGGCUACACCUGACAUUAGUCAGAGUAGAAAUUAGCAGACAUGACUCACUUAGGUCCAGUGAUUUCGGUUAGUCUGCUCUGAGUACAACUUAGUACAAUAACAACCCUGUGAUUGCAGACAUGCUGCUACGUUGAAGAAACAGGGGGGUUAUACAAAGAUCAGCUACAAAGACCAAAAGAAAAAUGAAAGCCUCAAAACCUGAAGGAAAAAUUCAGAGAGAAAUCAAUAGCCUAUUGCUCGAACCAUUUAAAAUUUAUUGGAUGCACCUAGGAAAAGUAGAAGGGGAGCCGAGUGAGAAAGUCAUCAUCCUGCAGCCUGGAGGGUAGGAAUGCAUCAGUGGCUUAACACACAUUUCCAGGCUACCACCUCACAGCUUUGUCUCAUGAACGGUUUCUUUCUUUGAGCCGAAAUAAAAGGAGGUGAAUCACUCAUUAUGGAUAACUGUCAGACAGCUCAGGAUUGGAAUCUAUGGUUUCCUUAGUAAAGGGUCG
Molecule: non-coding RNA, 1059 nt
Organism: Podarcis lilfordi (Lilford's wall lizard)
Lineage: Eukaryota; Metazoa; Chordata; Lepidosauria; Squamata; Lacertidae
Source: the annotation of a GenBank genome assembly